This 496-nucleotide ribosomal RNA is filed under the name uncultured bacterium. Its description in RNAcentral is "partial 16S ribosomal RNA". It matches the Rfam family "Bacterial small subunit ribosomal RNA", at positions 29 to 507 of the family's 1533-position model. The record is from RNAcentral.
AUGAACGCUGGCGGCGUGCCUAAUACAUGCAAGUCGAGCGAACAGACGAGGAGCUUGCUCCUCUGACGUUAGCGGCGGACGGGUGAGUAACACGUGGAUAACCUACCUAUAAGACUGGGAUAACUUCGGGAAACCGGAGCUAAUACCGGAUAAUAUAUUGAACCGCAUGGUUCAAUAGUGAAAGACGGUUUUGCUGUCACUUAUAGAUGGAUCCGCGCCGCAUUAGCUAGUUGGUAAGGUAACGGCUUACCAAGGCAACGAUGCGUAGCCGACCUGAGAGGGUGAUCGGCCACACUGGAACUGAGACACGGUCCAGACUCCUACGGGAGGCAGCAGUAGGGAAUCUUCCGUAAUGGGCGAAAGCCUGACGGAGCAACGCCGCGUGAGUGAUGAAGGUCUUCGGAUCGUAAAACUCUGUUAUUAGGGAAGAACAAAUGUGUAAGUAACUAUGCACGUCUUGACGGUACCUAAUCAGAAAGCCACGGCUAACUACGUG